Molecule: unclassified non-coding RNA, 353 nt
Filed under: soil metagenome
Description: partial contains 5.8S ribosomal RNA, internal transcribed spacer 2, and large subunit ribosomal RNA
Rfam family: 5.8S ribosomal RNA (bases 1-120)
Source: RNAcentral
GAUGAAGAACGCAGCGAAAUGCGAUAAGUAAUGUGAAUUGCAGAAUUCAGUGAAUCAUCGAAUCUUUGAACGCACAUUGCGCCCGCCAGUAUUCUGGCGGGCAUGCCUGUUCGAGCGUCAUUACAACCCUCAGGCCCCCGGGCCUGGCGUUGGGGAUCGGCGGAAGCCCCCUGCGGGCACAACGCCGUCCCCCAAAUACAGUGGCGGUCCCGCCGCAGCUUCCAUUGCGUAGUAGCUAACACCUCGCACCUGGAGAGCGGCGCGGCCACGCCGUAAAACACCCAACUUCUGAAUGUUGACCUCGAAUCAGGUAGGAAUACCCGCUGAACUUAAGCAUAUCAAUAAGCGGAGGA